RNAcentral lists this ribosomal RNA (433 nucleotides) under uncultured bacterium. RNAcentral's name for it is "partial 16S ribosomal RNA". It matches the Rfam family "Bacterial small subunit ribosomal RNA", at positions 29 to 507 of the family's 1533-position model. The record is from RNAcentral.
CGCUAACGCUGGCGGCAGGCCUAACACAUGCAAGUCGAACGAACUCUUCGGAGUUAGUGGCGGACGGGUGAGUAACACGUGGGAACGUGCCUUUUGGUUCGGAAUAACUCAGGGAAACUUGUGCUAAUACCGCAUGUGCCCUUCGGGGGAAAGAUUUAUCGCCAUUAGAGCGGCCCGCGUCUGAUUAGCUAGUUGGUGAGGUAACGGCUCACCAAGGCGACGAUCAGGAGCUGGUCUGAGAGGAUGACCAGCCACACUGGGACUGAGACACGGCCCAGACUCCUACGGGAGGCAGCAGUGGGGAAUCUUGCGCAAUGGGCGAAAGCCUGACGCAGCCAUGCCGCGUGAAUGAUGAAGGUCUUAGGAUUGUAAAAUUCUUUCACCGGGGACGAUAAUGACGGUACCCGGAGAAGAAGCCCCGGCUAACUUCGUG